GAGAGGAGAGCACGGAACUCGG
RNAcentral lists this non-coding RNA (22 nucleotides) under Arabidopsis thaliana (thale cress). The record is from RNAcentral. Lineage: Eukaryota; Viridiplantae; Streptophyta; Magnoliopsida; Brassicales; Brassicaceae.